GUGGUUGUGACUCAGUGGUAGAGCACUCUCCUAGCACACUUGGUGCCCUGAGUUCAAUCCUCAGCACCACA
Molecule: transfer RNA, 71 nt
Filed under: Marmota monax (woodchuck)
Lineage: Eukaryota; Metazoa; Chordata; Mammalia; Rodentia; Sciuridae
Description: tRNA.Undet
Source: RNAcentral